Molecule: long non-coding RNA, 462 nt
Organism: Cheilinus undulatus (humphead wrasse)
Lineage: Eukaryota; Metazoa; Chordata; Actinopteri; Labriformes; Labridae
Exons: 3
Source: RefSeq, a predicted model, not a curated record
GUGAUCACAGAGGGACACCAUCACCGCAGCAAUCACGGCUACAUUCUCCGUCUGUAGAGGAAAACACUCGCACUCUAAACAGAAAACAUCCCAGCAUUCCUUUGAUGAAACGAAACUCCACAAUGAACUCAGCAGAAACCUAUAGGACAGCUGGGAGAAGAAUUAAGUGUGUGGGUCCACUAUAGCAGGAUUACUGACUGAAUCUUUAAGAUCAGAGAUGGAGCUCAACAUUACACUGCAUUUGAAUGACCUGCAGAAGAAGCAUGGAAAUAUCAACGUGUAUGUCUCUGUUGUAGUGCUAGUGUGUUUUUAGAUAAGUGAUUUAGUCCAUCAAGUAUUCAGUGUGUACUUUGAUUUAGCAACUGAUCAUUACAAUUAAGAAAACUAGUUAAGAAGAAUAAAUUAAUAAUGUCAUUAUUGUGACUGUAUAUUUAUUUAAUGAUAUGCAGGACAAUAUGUUAU